Molecule: transfer RNA, 68 nt
Filed under: Marmota monax (woodchuck)
Lineage: Eukaryota; Metazoa; Chordata; Mammalia; Rodentia; Sciuridae
Description: tRNA.Ala
Source: RNAcentral
GUGGUGGCUCAGUGGUAGUGUGCUCGCCUAGCAUGCAUGAGGCACUGGGUUCAAUUCUCAGCACCACA